RNAcentral lists this unclassified non-coding RNA (376 nucleotides) under uncultured Alteromonadaceae bacterium. RNAcentral describes it as "contains 16S-23S intergenic spacer region". Lineage: Bacteria; Pseudomonadati; Pseudomonadota; Gammaproteobacteria; Alteromonadales; Alteromonadaceae. The record is from RNAcentral.
UCCGGUUUGUCACCGGCAGUCUCCUUAAAGUGCCCAACUUAAUGCUGGCAACUAAGGACAAGGGUUGCGCUCGUUGCGGGACUUAACCCAACAUCUCACGACACGAGCUGACGACAGCCAUGCAGCACCUGUCACAGAAUUCCCGAAGGCACUUCUGCAUCUCUGCUGAAUUUUCUGGAUGUCAAGGGAUGGUAAGGUUCUUCGCGUUGCAUCGAAUUAAACCACAUGCUCCACCGCUUGUGCGGGCCCCCGUCAAUUCAUUUGAGUUUUAACCUUGCGGCCGUACUCCCCAGGCGGUCUACUUAUCGCGUUAGCUUCGUUACGCAUGGAUUAAAUCCUCACACAACUAGUAGACAUCGUUUACGGUGUGGACUAC